This 434-nucleotide long non-coding RNA is filed under the name Citrus maxima (pomelo). RNAcentral describes it as "long non-coding RNA (CMAX_LNC002277)". The record is from RNAcentral. Lineage: Eukaryota; Viridiplantae; Streptophyta; Magnoliopsida; Sapindales; Rutaceae.
GGAGAUCAUGGUCGCUCUAUUUAAUUCCUCAAACACCAGUCCCCCAGUUUCUAGUGUUGAGAGUAAAACAAAUCAAUACUGGAAACUAUAAAGUUUAUAAUUUUGGCAAACCUAUGCCUUAGGAAUAUUUUUUACGAAUUUUGCCCAAUUGUCCUCACACGACUGAGCAGGUUUGGGCAAAUCUUUACUUUGGCAAAUUUUGCAAGAUAUGGCUGCUGGUCCUUCAAACGACCGAGCAGGAGUUGGCCCAUGUUUGCCUUAGUAAAAUUUUAUAGAAUUCGCCUGCUGGUCCUUUAGGCGACCGAACAGGAAUAGGCACAUGUUUGCUUUAAAAAAAUUUAGUAGACUUUAGCUGCUGGUCCUUUAGACGACCGGGCAUAAAUAGGCACAUGUUUGCCUUAGUAAAAUUUAAUAGACUUUAGCUGCUGGUCCUU